UAGCAGCUAACAGGCUACCGGCUUAUUCACCAGGAACUACUCAAAGGCUUCAUAUCAAGCGAAAGGCCGUAUUUUUCUGACGCAGAAAUAACGCAACCAGCGACCUGGAUCAAUCUCAUUACCAGUGUUCCUGCAAACUGAUGGCUGAGAGAGCAGGAAGGAGAGUGACUUUGAAUACAACAGCUGUGCCCUCCUCAGACAAAGAUCUCAUUAAGGCCUGCUGCUGCCACUGCUGCUGUUUUCGCUCCAUAAUGGAGAUCUUCCACCAGCAUCAUUGUUUCAUUUGUUCUGGGACUUCUCAUAAAACCCCCACAAAACGCUGACACGGCCGAUCGGCCUGGGUGGCUGACGGCAAAAUGCUGAGUCAGCCUGGACCGCACCAUCCUCCCCAGCAGAGAUGCUUGGAGUGGAGCCUCAUCAAUAAUGAAACGUUCCCUUAGCCGAGAGCCACAGCCGGGGCUCAGGUCUCUGCAUCAUGAAGCUUCUAAAGAGUAUCUCAUCGUUCUCUGCUGUAUUCAGGCUCCAGAAUCGAUGUGGCAUGGCUAAGCUUUUCUAUCAGUCCAAUGUCGGUGGGAUUCAUGUGGUCUAUAACUGAAGGAUGAUGCAAAACGCACUGGUAAUCGAGAUACCAGGGGGCAUUUUGGGAUUGGAAUAAUUAUUCAAAGCCAUAAUAUUGCUCCAGCUGAAUAAAAAAAAAAGCAAAAUGAGGUGGUUUCCCUAGGCUUAAUGCAGCCUAAUUUCCUCACACGUUUGUUGUUGGCCUACUUAAACAUGGGUGUUUCUGUUUGUGUGUGCUCUAAACGCAGUAAGUAGCAUUAAAUUACAGAGAGCAAGAGAGACAGUGAGAUGCCCUACAAACCCUCAAAAAUCAAAGCCCGGUUUACUGUAACCACAUCAACAUUAAAGGUCCAAGGCGUACAUUUUUUGGAGGAUCUAUUAACAGAAAUGCAAUAUAAUAUACAUAACUAUGUCCUCAAAGGUGUAUAAAGACCUUACACAAUGAAGCUUUAUGUUUUUAUUAUCUUAGAAUGAGCUAUUUCUAUCUACAUAGUACAUACACCAUGGGUCCCCUUGCAUGAAAUUUGCCAUGUUGUUUCUACAGUAGCCUUAAACGGACAAACUGCUCUACCGAACGCUUUUCGUAAAUACGUUAUCUCCUUCGACAAAGAAGCGAAAAUGUGACGACAUCUUAGUCCUGCGUCAGCCACCGUAGUGCUUCAAAAGAGAGGGGUGGUGGUGGAGUGAUCCGUUGGAUGCAAUUCGUAACCUCACCGCUAGAUGCAGCUAAAUUUCAUACACCGGACCUUUAGAAGAAGCAUAUUUCUUAAAAUAUUAAGAUUAGCCGUCAACCUUCAUACAGUUUUCUGUGGUUUAUUUCUAAAUGUGUUCUCCUCCCAAAUAUGAACCAUUUCGGUUUGCCAUUUAGACCGCACUGUAAGCAAGCUUUAAUAAUCUUUUUUUAUUUAUUUCCCAUUCCAAUAUUAUAAAUGUCCACAACAUUCCCUUUAUAUGGUGCGUGAUGUUAAAAUACUUCAUCUUAUCACAAUGUAUUUUUCAUACCCCUGUUUCGAUAUAUUGAUUAUGCGUGACCUUUUUAUUGUCAUUGUGUGGCUUUGGUAAAAAGGGAUUGAUUUUCCACCCAGCUAUGUCCAUAGACCUCGGUUCGUAGGGUUCACAACAAGGGCACUUAAUGGUUGGACUGUUUUAGGACAUAGGUCAUGGAUUAGCUUUAGGAGUGCAUUCAGUGCUACUAUUCAAUUUCUGUUACUUUUGUUACUGGUACAUUACAUUAACCUUAAAUUCCUUUUAUCAUUCAUUCAUUUUUUGCAUAGUUUUUGUGUAUUGUAUUGCAGAAUGAACUUUGUCUGAGAUAGUUUGAGUUGUUGUUGUUUUUUCAUUGCACAACAGUGAUAUUCAGGCUGCUAUGGGGUUUAGUGUAAUUUUAUGCUCUAGUUAUGCCUUUUAUCAUUCUACUUUUAGUAUGGAGUUUCAGAAAGUACCCAUGAAAGUACCAACAAAACUCAUAAAAUAGGAGUUCACCUUCAGAGACAUGUGUACUUUGUUGAAAAGUAAGUUUAUGUUGCCCAGAUAACAUCACAAAAUGUUUGUGAUGUAUAUUCAUACCCUGACUUUUUAAAUGAUAUCUGUCUGUAUAAGGUAUUUCAAAGUGCUGUUAACAUGAUGCUUUUAGCUACAUACUGUAUAUUAUUCACACAGGAUGGUGAUUUACAUGUAAACAUACCCUUUAAUAUUAAAUAGGGAUGUACCCAUACCAUUUUUUAAAGACUGAGUACGAGUACCGAUAUUUGUUUUCUGGUGCUCGUCGAUAUCGAUGCCCAAUACCGAUGCCUGUACCUUUUCACAACACAGUUAGACUAAUAAAAAUAGAAUAAUUACACACAACUUACACACAUUAUGAAAAAAAAAAAAAAUUAUGUGCUUUUCACAAACU
This is a long non-coding RNA of Triplophysa rosa, 2452 nucleotides long. RefSeq lists it as uncharacterized. NCBI's taxonomy places the organism in Eukaryota, Metazoa, Chordata, Actinopteri, Cypriniformes, Nemacheilidae. The transcript has 3 exons. The record is from RefSeq and is a predicted model, not a curated record.